AUGAAAUUCCUUGGCUACAUAGGGAAUGACUAUUUUAAUAAUUCUUCCUUAAUGUGCUGUGCCCUGCUUUCAUCAAACGAAGACACAAAAUGAAAAAGUGCACGUAGCACGGUACACAGAGUACAUAAUGCAGACGGCACUAUAAAACCAUUGACUAUUACAUAAUACUAUGGGUACUUGUGAUUUGUGGUGAGUUGUGGUGUUCUAAGCACUCUGCAGACAGUGAAAGUGCUCAUUGAUGCUCGCUAAUUGUUGCAGCCCUAAUCGCUUUCUGGCUGAUCUUUGUUUUUCGAAGACCUGCUUUCUCCUGGCCUUCAGCCACCUCUGGAUGGGCGAUUGGACGGCGCAUUUUUUACUUUUUCUUGCACCAGCAGCACGUCAAAGAUUUCCACCUAUAAGCUCCUUUGAGGAACAAGGCUGUUAUUAAAAUCCCGGAUAAGCUCGGAAAGGGUCUUGGGAGAGCAGGAAAGCUGUUUACUCCGAGGUCGGCUCGGUGGAGACUGGGAUGCAGCUUUGGAGCACGGAGACAGACAUCAGCCUGAAAUGUCCGAACAGAGAGAGGGAUCCAGCACCUUGUGGCUGAUUAAGAGUUAAAGACAACUGAACUGAACGCCCUGCAGUUGCACUGAGGCCCGGCUAAAUGACCCAUGAAACCUAAUGGCAGCCGUAAAGAGAAGCACGUGCCCGACUGAGUACGUGCGACACCAUUUCCGGGCCCCGGACGACAACCCAGGCACACAGAAUCCCAUCUCCAGACCCUCAAGAAGGAGAUAUUCAAGGAUUUCUACAGCUAAAGAACAGGCCAGUUUAAAGAAGAAAAACAAAUGUGAGCCAAUCUAUACUUAGAGUGGCCUUCAAUGAAGUGAAUAUCACAUACUGUGUGAAUAUCAUAUACGUGGAUGUAGCUGUAGGUGGAUGUGUUUCUGAUGGACACAGAGUAUUACCCACAAAACAACAGGCUGAUCCGGGAAAGACAUCGCCCAGAAGGGUAUUUUCCUGCGGCAUUUCACUCAUCCUUCGUUACUCAUUUUUUCAUGUUUUUUUCUCCCAUUUAUUUUUUUUAUUUGAGACAAUUUUUCUGAUAUUAUGAAGUUACUUAACAGAUGCUCUUUGACUGAUUACCUGCCUGCUUAUACCUUUUUUGUUCUAAUGGAUUUAACUGAUUUAUGCAAAAGGAUAUUUUCACAGUAAUAAUUCAAGUUGUCUAUCUUUUUCCAAGAUACACAAACUGAUCAUCUCCUGGAAUUCACAGACAGCUCCUCAUAGGUCAUAGGUCUGGGUCUUAAAAAAACAGCUUCUUACUCUAUGUAGGAUAGAGAAAUGGUUUUAAAAAGCCUAAAAAUAAUCGCUAUUAUAUUGCUAACAUACAUCAACAUGUGGAUUACCAAAGUCUUUUUAUGUUGGCCAGAAAUACUACCCUCAAAUUUUAAUUGACCUUUCAAUGUGAAACACUGUAUUUUACAGUGCAAUAUAUGAUUUGACUAAAACAUAUACUGAUAAAGAUGUGUAUUGCCUAUGUGCAUUCCUGGUCAAUAACCAAUAACUCAUUUCAAUAUGGUAUAAUUAGAUAUUGACUAGUAUAAGUACUGGCUAGUGGGGAGGCACUUCAAUGCAAACACAUUACUCGGAAACACACAGAUAAUGCAUUGUAAACAGAUAUUUUUUUCUACCUGAAGUUUCACAAUAUUAUUCGAAAAAAGUCAGCUCCAUGACUGAUAUGUCUGUCCGGCCAGUCUGUUAGAAACACAUGAGUUUCACUAACUAGUUGUUUCACUUACUGCCAGUUUUUUUUUUUUUUUUUAAAGAGAUCACUUUAUUCUAUAAUCGAGGGAGGCGUCAGUGUUAUUUGCAAAAUUCUUUUAAGCCGCUAUACAAACCCAAACCCAUAAACCUUAUAUUACUUAUAAUUUUUAGCUGUAUGUGUUAAUUCCUUCCAUAAACAACAUUUGAAAUACUGAAAAACAAUGCUUUACUUUCUAUUGCUGUUAUCAAAUAACUGUUGCACAGCAGUGAAUUGUACUUCCCUAACAAACUGUGGUAACGUUAACGUCAAUAAACGCGAAUUCUGCAUCAUUGGAAUUUAAGAUUAUUCCCUUUAAAUAUAUAUUUUUAUAUUUACAUAUAUAAAUAAAUUCUCUCAUUGUUCAGUGUCUCCUGUUUAAGGAUAUAGACAGAUAAUUACAGGUUUAUUGUUACUGGGGCCCCAUUAAAAGUGUUAUUUCACCUCCUGUAGUGUAGUGACUAUUUGUGGUCAACAGGGGGCCCCCAAACCUCAGGGGCCCCAUGUAAAUGCAUGCAUUUGGAUGGUGGCAAACAUUGCCAUAGCGGAGACACACUAGUGAGCACGCAAGACAAUAAUGAGAGGCAGAGAACCUUCAGAGUGCCGUAAUUCAAUUAGAAUUUGCAGGCUUCCAAAUGAAACGUUUGAUGAUUCUUUUGUUUACUUGUUUUUAAGCCAUUCAAUGCAUUAUUCAUGUAUAUGAAGUAGAUUGAAUAAUGUACACUCAUUCACCCCCUCAGAACCCAGAGUCGGGAUGCUCAAACGAUAAAUUCUAAGACAAUGACUUCACUGAUGUU
Paramormyrops kingsleyae is the source of this 2577-nucleotide non-coding RNA. The record is from RefSeq and is a predicted model, not a curated record. NCBI's taxonomy places the organism in Eukaryota, Metazoa, Chordata, Actinopteri, Osteoglossiformes, Mormyridae.